This is a long non-coding RNA of Priapulus caudatus, 145 nucleotides long. RefSeq lists it as uncharacterized. The transcript has 3 exons. Lineage: Eukaryota; Metazoa; Priapulida; Priapulimorpha; Priapulimorphida; Priapulidae. The record is from RefSeq and is a predicted model, not a curated record.
AUGGAGGAGUGCUCGGUCAUCUACGACCACAGGACCGGGAAAGUCUCGCGGUUUUGCCUUCGUCCACUACAAGAAUCAAGAUGAAUGCGACAGAGGCGAAGGAGAGCUGCGCCGGCAUAGAGGGCUGGAUGGGCGCGCAAUCGAG